Long non-coding RNA from Camellia sinensis, 2135 nucleotides. RefSeq lists it as uncharacterized. The record is from RefSeq and is a predicted model, not a curated record. NCBI's taxonomy places the organism in Eukaryota, Viridiplantae, Streptophyta, Magnoliopsida, Ericales, Theaceae.
UUUGAUUGUACACUUUGAAUAUGGAUUUAUCAACAACUUGAAAGUGCCCUUGUAAUGUGCAACAAGGCAUGCAGGGUAGAUCCCUAUCGUAUCUCUUGAGUUGGUCUUUGGGUGUAAUACACGGGGUAUGCAGUAUCACUCGUGGAGCCGACUUCUCGGGAGAAUGACAAGCGCCUAAUCUGUGACAACAUGUCACAUAUCGACUCAUUGGGGGUGCGAGUUCUACACCAAGCACCUUAUAAGCGCAUUAGUUUGUGAGCAGCAAGGCAGGUAUGGUAGAUCCCUAUCGCAUCUCCUGGGUUGGUCCUUGGACAUAAUACAAGGAGUAUGCAGUACCACUCGUGGAGCCGGCUUCUUGGGAGGAUGACAAGCGCUUAGUCCAUGACAACAUGCUUCGACCUUCUACACUACUAGGCAGUGCAGUGUAGUGACAAAGGAGAAGAUUAAGCAAGCAUUCGAAAUGAUUUCAAGAUAGUUCAAGGAUCCUAAUUUCGAGAUGUAAUAUGAUCUUAUGAUUGUGGGUAUUUUGGAACAGGAGAAUAGAGGAACUUUGGAAUCUGAUGUUUUCAAGAUAUCUCUCAUAGCUCAACAAUAAUAGCUAUCUUGGAUGGGAUUAAAUUUAGUGCUGAUCUUUUAGUUAUAAUGCUUAUCUACUACUUAAUAUCUCUAACUUGACAAAAAAUUUGCUUAAACAAACUUAUAACACCAUGAGUGGACUAUAUAUGUGUGAAGGAGUGAAAGUGAGAGAGGUGCACACACAAUCACAAGGCACUGAAAGAAAAGCCAACCACCCGUUUGACCAGUGGGCCCAUCACAACCUCCCUUGGAUGCAAUGGAAAUGAGAAUCUUUGGUAAGAGGCAUAAAUGGGGAAAGCAUAGUCCAAAGCUACUAUGCCCAAUCAAUAAUCUCCAAUUGUUCUCAAUAAGCUCCUUCUACUCUCUCUCUCUCUCUCUCUCUCUCUCUCUCUCUUAUUACUAUGUUAGUUUUUCCUUAAAUAAUUCUAGAGUCCCCUCUAUUUUUCCAUAUGACAAAUAUGUCCUUGUAAAAGGAAAUUAAUCUAAUAGAACUUUUUUUUUUUAGCUUAGGUUUUAUCUAAGUUAUGCGUCACACGCUUAGAUUGUGUUGGACUCUUGAAGGUGACAAAAAUAGAAGCUAAAUUUCUCACUUUUUUUCCUCUACAAAUCCUUAUUUAAAUUCUAAAUUUCAAACACAACCUUGAGAUUUAGAUCAUAUGAACUUAAUUUCUAUAAAUAAAAAAACAAACAAACUUAUCUUUGAUUGGAUAGGAUUUGUAUGUACUUCAUUCAGAAAAGUUACUAACACAAAAAAAAAAAAUGCAGAGAAAAUGAAAUAUAUGGCUUAGAUUCAAAUUUGAUAUGACGUGGAUCCUACCCAAGUUGAAAUUGCGCCCACCCAUUUCAUUUUCUCUGCAUUUUUUUUUUUUGUUGUAUUUGAUUUGUCAUUUUGAGAGGACAUUGGUGGCAUUGUAGUUGAACCAAAGGGUAAAUGGUUGCAAAAGUUGAUAUUUUCUAGUACAAAGAAGGCUUUCUGUCUUCAUGGAUGUUGCUUAGCAUUGCAGCAUUAGUUUAUUAGUGGAGGGAGGUUGGGACACUAGUGUAUGCAAAUAUAUACAUAUUUAUAUAUGAAUAUAUAUAUAUAUAUAUAUUUAUAUGUAUAUAAGGGAAGGUUGUGAAGGAGAUACGUGAAGAUGGAAGGGCUGGAUGAGCUUCAACUUCAGGAAGUCACUUCGCUAGCCAAUAAAGAGCAUAUUUGUUAAGGUCAUUUCAUGCCUCACAUACAAGACCCAAGGGAAUGGGCAUGGAUUGGUUAGUCUUUACAAGGACAUGGAAGCUUGUAAAGGAUAUGCAGACAUACAAGUGAUGUGGGAGAUGAUUCACUCUUCGCGCCCGCCUAGUGGUUGUAAAAACAGAAAUAGCAAGAGGGCUUCUCAAUGAAGAUUAUUAUUAUGUUUCAAGCCAACAUAAAUUUUGUCUACCCUUUUGAAAAACAACAGGUUUUGGAUAGAUUUGAUACCCAUAUUGUUUUUUUGUGUCGCUCUUUUUGGAUUCAAUUUGCGGCAGUAUACAGAAUUCUCUGAUACAUCUUUUUGAAGAUUAUAGAUUUCUUUGAUACA